Molecule: ribosomal RNA, 465 nt
Filed under: Vreelandella stevensii
Lineage: Bacteria; Pseudomonadati; Pseudomonadota; Gammaproteobacteria; Oceanospirillales; Halomonadaceae
Description: partial 16S ribosomal RNA
Rfam family: Bacterial small subunit ribosomal RNA
Source: RNAcentral
CCUACGGGCGGCAGCAGUGGGGAAUAUUGGACAAUGGGGGCAACCCUGAUCCAGCCAUGCCGCGUGUGUGAAGAAGGCCCUCGGGUUGUAAAGCACUUUCAGUGAGGAAGAACGCCUGGUGGUUAAUACCCAUCAGGAAAGACAUCACUCACAGAAGAAGCACCGGCUAACUCCGUGCCAGCAGCCGCGGUAAUACGGAGGGUGCGAGCGUUAAUCGGAAUUACUGGGCGUAAAGCGCGCGUAGGUGGCUUGAUAAGCCGGUUGUGAAAGUCCCGGGCUCAACCUGGGAACGGCAUCCGGAACUGUCAAGCUAGAGUGCAGGAGAGGAAGGUAGAAUUCCCGGUGUAGCGGUGAAAUGCGUAGAGAUCGGGAGGAAUACCAGUGGCGAAGGCGGCCUUCUGGACUGACACUGACACUGAGGUGCGAAAGCGUGGGUAGCAAACAGGAUUAGAUACCCGGGUAGUC